GGGGGAUAUUGCACAAUGGGCGAAAGCCUGAUGCAGCGACGCCGCGUGAGGGAAGACGGUCUUCGGAUUGUAAACCUCUGUCUUUGGGGACGAUAAUGACGGUACCCAAGGAGGAAGCCACGGCUAACUACGUGCCAGCAGCCGCGGUAAUACGUAGGUGGCGAGCGUUGUCCGGAAUUACUGGGUGUAAAGGGAGCGUAGGCGGGAAUGCAAGUUGAAUGUCAAAUCUAUCGGCUCAACCGAUAGCCGCGUUCAAAACUGCAUUUCUUGAGUGAAGUAGAGGUUGGCGGAAUUCCUAGUGUAGCGGUGAAAUGCGUAGAUAUUAGGAGGAACACCAGUGGCGAAGGCGGCCAACUGGGCUUUAACUGACGCUGAGGCUCGAAAGCGUGGGGAGCAAAC
Molecule: ribosomal RNA, 399 nt
Filed under: uncultured bacterium
Lineage: Bacteria
Description: bacterial SSU rRNA
Rfam family: Bacterial small subunit ribosomal RNA
Source: RNAcentral